AAUGAACGUUGGCGGCGUGGAUUAGGCAUGCGAGUCGAGCGAGAACCGUAGCAAUACGGGGACAGCGGCGAAAGGGACAGUAACGGGUAGAUUAUCUGCCCUCAGGUUUGGGAUAGCUGCGGGAAACUGCAAGUAAUACCAAAUAAUAUCUCCGGAUCAAAGGUGUGAUUCCGCCUGAGGAUGAGUCUGCCUCCUAUUAGCUUGUUGGUGGGGUAACGGCCUACCAAGGCAUUGAUGGGUAGCGGGUGUGAGAGCACGACCCGCGUCAUUGGGACUGAGACACUGCCCAGACACCUACGGGUGGCUGCAGUCGAGAAUCUUCGGCAAUGCGCGCAAGCGUGACCGAGCGACGCCGUGUGUGGGAUGAAGG
RNAcentral lists this ribosomal RNA (370 nucleotides) under uncultured bacterium. Its description in RNAcentral is "bacterial SSU rRNA". It matches the Rfam family "Bacterial small subunit ribosomal RNA", at positions 29 to 414 of the family's 1533-position model. The record is from RNAcentral.